Molecule: ribosomal RNA, 253 nt
Filed under: uncultured bacterium
Lineage: Bacteria
Description: partial 16S ribosomal RNA
Rfam family: Bacterial small subunit ribosomal RNA
Source: RNAcentral
UACGGAGGGUGCAAGCGUUAUCCGGAUUCACUGGGUUUAAAGGGUGCGUAGGCGGGCAGGCAAGUCCGUGGUGAAAUCUCUGAGCUUAACUCAGAAACUGCCAUGGAUACUAUUUGUCUUGAAUAUUGUGGAUGUAAGCGGAAUAUGUCAUGUAGCGGUGAAAUGCUUAGAUAUGACAUAGAACACCAAUUGCGAAGGCAGCUUACUACACAGUUAUUGACGCUGAGGCACGAAAGCGUGGGGAUCAAACAGG